AUUGAACGCUGGCGGCGUGCCUAACACAUGCAAGUCGAGCGGAAUGAAGGAGCUUGCUUUUUCAUUCAGCGGCGCACGGGUGAGUAACACGUGGAUGAUCUACCCGUUUGUUCGGGAUAACGGCUGGAAACGGUCGCUAAUACCGGAUACGAUUCCAUUUCAAAGUUGGAGUGAAAGGGGGCCUCUGCAUAUGCUUCCGCAAACGGAUGAGUCCGCGUCUCAUUAGGUAGUUGGUAGGGUAACGGCCUACCAAGCCGAUGAUGAGUAGCCGGCCUGAGAGGGUAAUCGGCCACACUGGGACUGGAACACGGCCCAGACUCCUACGGGAGGCAGCAGUGGGGAAUAUUGCGCAAUGGGCGAAAGCCUGACGCAGCGACGCCGCGUGAGGGAUGAAGGUCUUCGGAUCGUAAACCUCUGUCAGGAGGAAAGAACGGCGCGGGUGCUAAUCAGCCCGCGAUUGACGGUACCUCCAAAGGAAGCACCGGCUAACUCCGUGCCAGCAGCCGCCGUAAAAC
This 515-nucleotide ribosomal RNA is filed under the name uncultured bacterium. RNAcentral describes it as "bacterial SSU rRNA". It matches the Rfam family "Bacterial small subunit ribosomal RNA", at positions 30 to 526 of the family's 1533-position model. The record is from RNAcentral.